RNAcentral lists this transfer RNA (73 nucleotides) under Magallana gigas (Pacific oyster). Its description in RNAcentral is "Crassostrea gigas (Pacific oyster) tRNA". It matches the Rfam family "tRNA". From Rfam's summary of the family: Transfer RNA (tRNA) molecules are approximately 80 nucleotides in length. Their secondary structure includes four short double-helical elements and three loops (D, anti-codon, and T loops). Lineage: Eukaryota; Metazoa; Mollusca; Bivalvia; Ostreida; Ostreidae. The record is from Rfam by way of RNAcentral.
UACCAGACAGCUCAGUUGGUAAAGCACUUGACUAGAGAUUAAGGGGGCCUGGGUUUGAAUCCGGGUCUGGUCC